UUUGGUGGAACCGUCGGGGGGUCCGGCACAACCCUGUGGGGAUUGACGCCCGUCUGACAUGGUGCAACGACAUGGGGGGUGGAGCGCACGUGGAAGGCCA
This 100-nucleotide ribosomal RNA is filed under the name Eutreptiella gymnastica. Its description in RNAcentral is "partial Eukaryotic large subunit ribosomal RNA". Lineage: Eukaryota; Euglenozoa; Euglenophyceae; Eutreptiales; Eutreptiaceae. The record is from RNAcentral.